This 240-nucleotide unclassified non-coding RNA is filed under the name soil metagenome. Its description in RNAcentral is "partial contains 5.8S ribosomal RNA, internal transcribed spacer 2, and large subunit ribosomal RNA". The record is from RNAcentral.
AACAUCGCGCACCUGCGGGAACCUGCGGAAGGAUCAUUACAGAGUUGCAAAACUCCCUAAACCAUUGUGAAUGUUACCUAAACCGUUGCUUCGGCGGGCGGCCCGGGUCCUUCCCGGCGCCCAUCGGCCCUCGCGGGCGCCCGCCGGAGGUAAACCAAACUAUUGCAUUGUAUGGCCUCUCUGAGUCUUCUGUACUGAAUAAGUCAAAACUUUCAACAACGGAUCUCAGAUCGGAAGAGC